Molecule: ribosomal RNA, 344 nt
Filed under: uncultured eukaryote
Lineage: Eukaryota
Description: SSU rRNA
Rfam family: Eukaryotic small subunit ribosomal RNA
Source: RNAcentral
CCAGCAGCCGCGGUAAUUCCAGCUCCAAUAGCGUAUAUUAAAGUUGUUGCAGUUAAAAAGCUCGUAGUUGAACUUCUGCACGUGCCCGGUUGUGGCUUCGGUCAGGCCGUGGCGCGUGCAUCCGUCUGCAAACCUAGACCGGCCUUCACUGGCCGACUAGGGGAGUAGACCUUUUACCUUGAAAAAAUUAGAGUGUUUCUAGCAGGCAAUUGCUUGAAUACAUUAGCAUGGAAUAAUAGAAUAGGACUUUUGUCCAUUUCGUUGGUUAUUGGACAUUAGUAAUGAUUAAAAGGGACAGUUGGGGGCAUUAGUAUUUAAUUGUCAGAGGUGAAAUUCUUGGAUUU